RNAcentral lists this transfer RNA (73 nucleotides) under Lachnospiraceae bacterium. RNAcentral describes it as "tRNA-Glu". It matches the Rfam family "tRNA". From Rfam's summary of the family: Transfer RNA (tRNA) molecules are approximately 80 nucleotides in length. Their secondary structure includes four short double-helical elements and three loops (D, anti-codon, and T loops). Lineage: Bacteria; Bacillati; Bacillota; Clostridia; Lachnospirales; Lachnospiraceae. The record is from RNAcentral.
GGCUCCCUAGUCUAAUGGUUAGGACACAGGCCUUUCACGUCUGGGAUGCUGGGUUCAAUUCCCGCGGGAGUCA